This 253-nucleotide ribosomal RNA is filed under the name uncultured prokaryote. RNAcentral's name for it is "partial 16S ribosomal RNA". It matches the Rfam family "Bacterial small subunit ribosomal RNA", at positions 524 to 776 of the family's 1533-position model. The record is from RNAcentral.
UACGUAGGUGGCAAGCGUUGUCCGGAUUUACUGGGUGUAAAGGGCGAGUAGGCGGGUCUGCAAGUCAGUAGUGAAAUACCACGGCUCAACCGUGGGGCUGCUAUUGAAACUGUGGAUCUUGAGUGAUGGAGAGGCAGGCGGAAUUCCCGGUGUAGCGGUGAAAUGCGUAGAGAUCGGGAGGAACACCAGUGGCGAAGGCGGCCUGCUGGACAUUAACUGACGCUGAGGCGCGAAAGCGUGGGGAGCAAACAGG